Molecule: long non-coding RNA, 441 nt
Filed under: Phoenix dactylifera (date palm)
Lineage: Eukaryota; Viridiplantae; Streptophyta; Magnoliopsida; Arecales; Arecaceae
Description: long non-coding RNA (PDAC_LNC009565)
Source: RNAcentral
GAUCAAGAGUCAUUGACCCAAAGCUCGUUACAUGGACCUUACUAGAGCCUAAUGGAGUUGGACUGUUGUAGUCACUAUGCAUUAAAUAAUAAUAAUAAUAAUAAUAAAUUUAAACAUGAGUGAGUUAGUUAAACUUAAACCAAGUGACAUGUGGAUGACUGGUUUGACUCCAUUGUUUUAGAACUCUGUGUACCUGGGAUGUCUAGUUGGGAUUGAUAGCUUCAUUUUUAUAUGCGAACCAUUCUGGACAAAUAACAUGUGAUAUUCGGAAAAUUUAGUGGGUCGGAAGCUAACAAAUGGUAGUUAACACUUGUGAAUUUGAGUAGUGCACCUAGAACUCAAGGGGUACCCAAUUGUGGUGGAGGUAUAGGUAUUCUGAGACGUCACAUUUACAUUUGCCUUAAGGGUUGCUAUGAUUUAAAGUAUCUUUUAACUUAAAAA